Molecule: long non-coding RNA, 1451 nt
Filed under: Elaeis guineensis (African oil palm)
Lineage: Eukaryota; Viridiplantae; Streptophyta; Magnoliopsida; Arecales; Arecaceae
Description: long non-coding RNA (EGUI_LNC026337)
Source: RNAcentral
UGGAAUCCUUCCACUAUCCCAUUUCACAUGGAUAGAACAUAUGUCAAAAUUCCAAGUACAAAACUCUGAAAAUGUCCUAUAAGUGGAAGAAGGAACGAACAAAACAAAAGGUAAAGUGUCCUCUCCCUCUCUCUCUCUCACACACACAUCUCUACAAUUGGACAGCUGAACUUGGAUUCUCCUGAGCCCCACUGCAAGCAUCUGGUGUGGGAAAGCACCGGCUGGCCUUCAAUCCAUACACUGAUGCCUAUUUCACAACUUGAACUGUGCCUGACCGCAUUGCCUCUGCAUGCAACUGCAUUCUCAAUCCAUGCUUCAUUUGCACCAAAAACCAUGCUUAUCAUCCCACCUAUUACAUAAGUUCUUCCAAUAUUUUGUGGAAGCACCUCACACGGAGUCAAAACAGGGCCUAGACUUCAGGAGGCUGGUGACCAGCUCACCAAGGAAACAUUGGAGACCACAUCAUUCCCUUGCCUAUGAAUGUGAUGUACAUCAAGGUGUACACGGCUUCCAUGAAAGAGGUGUCAUUCCUUCCACACCAUAUUAAGCAUUAUUCAUUGCUUGGAAGCAAGGGUUUCGAACUAUGGAUGUUGAAUCCACUUUAGAAAAAUGUUUUUUUUUUCCCAGCGCCAGAAUUGGGAAAGCAUAUGGCUCCAUCAACCCCAUCUCCAUUUCUGCUCCUGGCCAUGAUUCCAAAGGCUCGGGAUCAAUAACAAUAUCUCAAUUUCUUCUUAUCAUUUCUUGUUUAGCAGGGAUCACACUCACCACAUUUAUCUGAAUCCAAAAUUUCAGUUUAUGCCUCCACUGCAUUGCAGACCUGUAGAUCCUGCAAAAGGAAAAGGAAACUAACCAUUAUGCAUGCUGAAAAAGCAUAUGUACAAGGAUAACUCCGCCUAACAACAAGAAUGGACUGCAUCAUAAACAUUUUUCCUGAAAAGCUACCAGCUGGAGGUCACAUCAAAGCAAUUGGAAGGAAAAGGAGGUCUCAAUAAAGAAGUUUGUGGAAAAAUACCACUUUCAAAAGUAUUUACUCUGAUCUUUCUUAACAAGCCAGAUCAAAGAUACAUGAAAUCUCCACUAAGCAAUCGAUCUCUUCUUAGUCCCUUACAUCAGCAAUCAGGAAGAUAACCCCUAUGGGCCAAACUGACAUAACAUCGAGCUGAAGAAAGAUAUAAUGCAACCUAUAGAAACAAGAAAUAACACAUCCAGACAGAAAACAAUCUUGCAAUCAUAAUACUUCUCAGUCUUUCUCAUAACCAGUUGAUCACCAAUGUCAAGUUUAAUUUCUAAGGCAGACAUACUGGUAAUAGUUGCCUUGCACGUUGCAUGGAAGGCCAGGACAGUAGUGCUGGUACACCAAAUCUAGCAAAAUUGACAGCUAUAAAUGAAAGCUCAGAACGGCUAAAAGGUAGUGAUUCUGAUGCCAAAUAACCUAGUUCUCAUACAUAAGG